GCCGAAAUAGCCUCAGUUAGGAGGAGCGUUAGGACUGAAGAUCUAAAGGUCCCUGGUUCGAUCCCGGGUUUCGGCA
Molecule: transfer RNA, 76 nt
Filed under: Felis catus (domestic cat)
Lineage: Eukaryota; Metazoa; Chordata; Mammalia; Carnivora; Felidae
Description: tRNA-Phe (GAA) (tRNA-Phe-GAA-8-1)
Rfam family: tRNA
About the family: Transfer RNA (tRNA) molecules are approximately 80 nucleotides in length.
Source: RNAcentral